Molecule: long non-coding RNA, 760 nt
Organism: Rosa chinensis
Lineage: Eukaryota; Viridiplantae; Streptophyta; Magnoliopsida; Rosales; Rosaceae
Exons: 2
Source: RefSeq, a predicted model, not a curated record
GAGCCCAGAUAUAAACGAAACAAGAGAGGUUACAUUCCAACUAAAUCUGCAGCAGAAAUAGGGAAAGGAAACUAUAACCCCAAAAAGACCAGACAAAAUCCAGUAAUCAAAGGGCAGACUUCGAAGGCUGAGGGCAAGGCAAGCCAUCAUUUCUCAGAACAAGAGUCAAGGUCGGUGGUGGCUGGUUGGCCCAUCGCUGAGGAUCCACCGUCCUACUAGCAAGCGAAGCGGCAGUGUGAGCCGCUUGAUUCACUUCUCUAGGAAUCCAAUCCCAACUAACAUCGUCAAUUAUGGCUGAUAGCAAGAUUAACUCCGGCAAGGAUCACCUCAGCCUUUGCGAUCGGAGCAAAACCGCAAACUGCCUUGGAAGCAGAUCCACAAAUAAAAUCGCCCAUGUGAUUUCGAAUAAUGAUCCAGAGUCCAGCUGAAGAAGGAGGGGACCAUGCUGCAUCGCUAUUAACUUUCACAAACAGAGGAGGAGAAGGAGGGGACCAUCUUGCUUGCCUAGAAGAGAUGAUGGAUCUGGGAGGCAGAGACAGGGCAUUUGCUUCCAAAAAAAUCAAAAGCUAAUCACAUACCGGAAGAUAUGGUGAAAUGUGGAGAAGGCAAUCUGUGAUUGUAAACAAAGUCGCAUCUAGUCUUCUAGAUAGUCCAGCACAGACAACUGAUCAAAGUUAGUGCUCUCUUCUUUUCUAGCGCAUUGAACUGUGAGGUAGAAAUAGCAUGUAGCCAUUGAUCAAAGGUUGUGAUUUGUUGCCUA